Molecule: ribosomal RNA, 677 nt
Filed under: uncultured bacterium
Lineage: Bacteria
Description: bacterial SSU rRNA
Rfam family: Bacterial small subunit ribosomal RNA
Source: RNAcentral
AUUCGCCCUUAGAGUUUGAUCCUGGCUCAGGAUGAACGCUGGCGGCGUGCCUAACACAUGCAAGUCGAACGGGGUAUAUAAGCGGAAGUUUACGGAUGGAAGGUUAUAUACUUAGUGGCGGACGGGUGAGUAACGCGUGGGCAACCUGCCCCGUGCCGGGGGAUACCGCCUGGAAACAGGCGCUAAUACCGCAUAAGCGCAUACAGCCGCAUGGGUGUAUGCGGAAAGCUCCGGCGGCACGGGAUGGGCCCGCGCCUGAUUAGCCAGUUGGCGGGGUAACGGCCCACCAAAGCGACGAUCGGUAGCCGGCCUGAGAGGGCGGACGGCCACAUUGGGACUGAGACACGGCCCAAACUCCUACGGGAGGCAGCAGUGGGGAAUAUUGCACAAUGGGGGAAACCCUGAUGCAGCAACGCCGCGUGGGUGAAGGAGCGUUUCGGCGCGUAAAGCCCUGUCAGCGGGGAAGAAGAAAGACGGUACCCGACCAAGAAGCCCCGGCUAACUACGUGCCAGCAGCCGCGGUAAUACGUAGGGGGCGAGCGUUAUCCGGAAUUACUGGGUGUAAAGGGAGCGUAGACGGCGAUGCAAGCCAGAUGUGAAAGCCCGCGGCUCAACUGCGGUAGUGCAUUUGGAACUGUAUGGCUGGAAUGCAGGAAAGGCAAGCGGAAUUCCUAGUG